UACGGGGGGAGCAAGCGUUGUUCGGAUUUACUGGGCGUAAAGGGCGCGUAGGCGGCCAGCACAAGUCAGUUGUGAAAUCUCCGGGCUUAACUCGGAAAGGUCAACUGAUACUGUGCGGCUAGAGUGCAGAAGGGGCAACUGGAAUUCUCGGUGUAGCGGUGAAAUGCGCAGAUAUCGGGAAGAACACCCGUGGCGAAGGCGGUUCUCUGGGACGGUACUGACGCUGAGACGCGAAAGCGUGGGGAGCGAACAGG
Molecule: ribosomal RNA, 254 nt
Filed under: uncultured bacterium
Lineage: Bacteria
Description: partial 16S ribosomal RNA
Rfam family: Bacterial small subunit ribosomal RNA
Source: RNAcentral